RNAcentral lists this small nuclear RNA (99 nucleotides) under Dipodomys ordii (Ord's kangaroo rat). Lineage: Eukaryota; Metazoa; Chordata; Mammalia; Rodentia; Heteromyidae. The record is from RNAcentral.
GAAAUCAUCUUGCUUCAUUAGCCAACUGGAAUAAUGCAAAGACUACAAUGGCCCCUGCACAAGGACAACAUGAAAACUCAUGAAGCAGUGUGUAUUUUA